AGGAGGUGUAGAAGCUGUUAAAAAUG
This 26-nucleotide non-coding RNA is filed under the name Cricetulus griseus (Chinese hamster). Lineage: Eukaryota; Metazoa; Chordata; Mammalia; Rodentia; Cricetidae. The record is from RNAcentral.